This 1128-nucleotide long non-coding RNA is filed under the name Pan troglodytes (chimpanzee). Its description in RNAcentral is "long non-coding RNA NONPTRT014449". Lineage: Eukaryota; Metazoa; Chordata; Mammalia; Primates; Hominidae. The record is from RNAcentral.
GUCUGGGAUCCCGACGGCCCAGGUGCUGACCCUGCCUCGGGUUGUGUCUGCUGAGAAGUCUGAUUUCUGCUUAUCUCUCCCCAUUUAUUUCUUCCCAUAAAGUGGGCUGAUGCGCUGGAACGUCAAUGCAGCCAGUGAUGUGUUUGAUGAGAAUGUAUUGAGUAAAGCUGCCCAGAAUCCAAGUGUGUGUCAUCUGAACUCUUGAAUCAUGGAUGGAAGGUAUGUCCUCUGUUGAUGUCUCGCAGCCUGAGCUGACAAUCUGUAAGAAGGUUUUGUUAUCUUCAUGUUACAGAUGGUGAACCGAAACUUACAGAGCUCAAGUCACUUGACCGGGCUCCACCCCUACAAGAGGCAGCAUGCAAACUAAAACCCAGGCGGCCUUUUCCAAAGCUUGUGCUCUGCUCCACUGCGGGAAGGAACCCUUCGGGGAACUGAAGCAGCACUGAACAAAGGCCAUUUUUAAGAAGCGACAGCAGAAACCUAAGGCGGGGUCCCCGGCUCAACAAGGAUCUCAUGUUUUGUGGGUCAGAGAUUCUUGUGUCGUGUCUGGGUGAGGUCAAAAACCAUGCAGAGACUUUCACUUCCUGUUCUGUGGCAGACAAGACAUCUGAAAAGCUCUCCUGCAGCAACACUUCUAGAUGCCAAGUAAAUCACAGCAAAUGCCCUUUUAAAUGUGUUACUAAGAUCAUAAAAAUGAAGGAAAAUGCCCAAGCAUAUCCCCAACCCCUCACCCCACAACCACCACCACCACAAUAAACAAGUUGCUGACAGCGGAUUGGCAAGCGAGUGUGGAACCUUAGGCUGCGUUGGCAUCAAAUACUAAUAACCAAGCAAAAGGGAGCAAGACCAAGCCUGCGGGCUGUGCCAUUGAGAGCUCUUGCUGUUGUACUCUUUUGUGGUCUACACUGCGUUUAUGGGCUGUAACUAGUCGUCACAAAGGCCUGCGGUUUUCACUUUCUGCCUCAGCCAGCAAGACUGCAAACCCACCACAAAGAAAAACUUAAGAACCGUCACAUCCACCGUAAGGGUCUGCAGCUGGGUUUUUGAAGUCAGACCAAGAACCCACCAAUUCGGGACACACCAUCUGGGCAGCUGAAUCAAGACUUUGUGGAGGAGCUCCAAAGUGGG